AGAUUGAAGGCAUUGAUAGGUAAGUAGGAAGCUGGCUGUUUGAUAAUAGAGUGCAAAUAUUGAUUCCCCGUUGUUGAUUUAGCUGAUGAACCGGAGCUGCUCCUCUGUUGAGAUGUAAUUUCCUGGAACACUUGAGAUGUAAAAUCUGUUCAUAAAAAUCAGGCGGUAAUUCAAUCUCCCUUUCUAGGGAUUUGCCUUGUGUUAAAAGGAAAAUCGUUUUACUUGGUUCCUGAAAAUGGCACAAACUGAUGACAAUGAUGCCAAUCCAAAUCAACCAUAUGAAAUAUUACCUAGCUUAAGUCUUUU
This 306-nucleotide unclassified non-coding RNA is filed under the name Hevea brasiliensis (rubber tree). Lineage: Eukaryota; Viridiplantae; Streptophyta; Magnoliopsida; Malpighiales; Euphorbiaceae. The record is from RNAcentral.